AAUCAAUUUACAUGUAGCAAUUUUAGCUUUAAUGAGGCACCUUAAUUUUUGCUCAUAAUAACUUUUUUAGGUACCCCACGGUUUACUUGAAGUACUAAAACAACAUUUAGCUUCUUUGGAAGAGAACAAUGACACUUUACCUCCUUACUGAUUAUUUUGACUACAUGAUACAUUACAACCAUCAUUAUCUUCGCAAGCCCACGAACCUGUUGGAACCAGACAGCAAGGUGGAACGAUUAUAGCAAACAACCUAAAUGGCUCACCUGCUAGCCUUGUAGGAAGUAAACAUCUAUUUUUAAAUUAAUAUUUUAAAUAUAUUUUAAAAUGUAUUUUAAGAAAAAGCAUUUACACAAAAAUAAUGUAAAACUUGUGUUUGUUUUAUGAAACAGAUUUUAACUUUGAAGAAAUCCCAG
Molecule: long non-coding RNA, 413 nt
Filed under: Macaca fascicularis (crab-eating macaque)
Lineage: Eukaryota; Metazoa; Chordata; Mammalia; Primates; Cercopithecidae
Description: lncRNA (ENSMFAG00000051913.1)
Source: RNAcentral